This 253-nucleotide ribosomal RNA is filed under the name uncultured bacterium. RNAcentral describes it as "partial 16S ribosomal RNA". It matches the Rfam family "Bacterial small subunit ribosomal RNA", at positions 524 to 776 of the family's 1533-position model. The record is from RNAcentral.
UACAGAGGUCUCAAGCGUUGUUCGGAUUCAUUGGGCGUAAAGGGUGCGUAGGCGGCGCGGUAAGUCGGGUGUGAAAUCUCGGAGCUUAACUCCGAAACUGCAUUCGAUACUGCCGUGCUUGAGGACUGGAGAGGAGACUGGAAUUUACGGUGUAGCGGUGAAAUGCGUAGAUAUCGUAAGGAAGACCAGUGGCGAAGGCGGGUCUCUGGGCCGAUACUGGACGCUGAGGAGCGAAAGCGUGGGAGCGAACAGG